Molecule: ribosomal RNA, 513 nt
Filed under: Neolithodes brodiei
Lineage: Eukaryota; Metazoa; Arthropoda; Malacostraca; Decapoda; Lithodidae
Description: eukaryotic LSU rRNA
Rfam family: Eukaryotic large subunit ribosomal RNA (bases 116-513)
Source: RNAcentral
GUAAGGAACCCUUCCCCUGGGGCUGAUCCCUGGCCGACAGUCGACCGUGGGGUGCUAGAGGGGGGUGGGAGCUCGGUGAGGCAUUUUCCCGGUUCUUUAUCACCCUCUGGCUUACUCCUGCGUGUCGGCAGUGGCCCAUGCCCACUAUGGGGGGGCGCAAGCCCGGGACUUGCCACCAGUGCACCUCUCGGCGUCCGCGACUGGCCUCUCGGGGCCUUUCCGCGUGGGCUGAGUUGGUAGCCGGCAAGUACCUUGAGCAGACAUGUUGGGACCCGAAAGAUGGUGAACUAUGCUUGGCCAGGACGAAGCCAGAGGAAACUCUGGUGGAGGUCCGCCGCGAUUCUGACGUGCAAAUCGAUCGUCGGAGCUGAGUAUAGGGGCGAAAGACUAAUCGAACCAUCUAGUAGCUGGUUCCCUCCGAAGUUUCCCUCAGGAUAGCUGGUACUUGAGAGUAAUUUCAUCCGGUAAAGCGAAUGAUUAGAGGUCUUGGGGACGAAACGUCCUCAACCUAUU